UAAUACAGAGGGUGCAAGCGUUAAUCGGAGUGACUGGGCGUAAAGGGCGUGUAGGUGGAUGGAUAAGUUAUGUGUGAAAUAUCCGGGCUUAACCUGGAGGGGUCAUGUAAUACUGUCUGUCUAGAGUAGAGCAGAGGGAAGUAGAAUUUCCGGUGUAGCGGUGAAAUGCGUAGAGAUCGGAAGGAAUACCAGUGGCGAAGGCGGCUUCCUGGGCUCAUACUGACACUGAGGCGCGAAAGCGUGGGUAGCGAACAGG
This 256-nucleotide ribosomal RNA is filed under the name uncultured bacterium. RNAcentral's name for it is "partial 16S ribosomal RNA". It matches the Rfam family "Bacterial small subunit ribosomal RNA", at positions 521 to 776 of the family's 1533-position model. The record is from RNAcentral.